This 99-nucleotide ribosomal RNA is filed under the name uncultured bacterium. RNAcentral's name for it is "partial 16S ribosomal RNA". It matches the Rfam family "Bacterial small subunit ribosomal RNA", at positions 1384 to 1482 of the family's 1533-position model. The record is from RNAcentral.
UACACACCGCCCGUCACACCAUGGGAGUGGGUUGUACCAGAAGCAAGUAGACCAACCUUCGGGAAGUCGCUUACCACGGUAUGAUUCAUGACUGGGGUG